GAUGAACGCUGGCGGCGUGCCUAAUACAUGCAAGUCGAGCGAACAGACGAGGAGCUUGCUCCUCUGACGUUAGCGGCGGACGGGUGAGUAACACGUGGAUAACCUACCUAUAAGACUGGGAUAACUUCGGGAAACCGGAUCUAAUACCGGAUAAUAUAUUGAACCGCAUGGUUCAAUAGUUAAAGACGGUUUUGCUGUCACUUAUAGAUGGAUCCGCGCCGCAUUAGCUAGUUGGUAAGGUAACGGCUUACCAAGGCAACGAUGCGUAGCCGACCUGAGAGGGGGAUCGGCCACACUGGAACUGAGACACGGUCCAGACUCCUACGGGAGGCAGCAGUAGGGAAUCUUCCGCAAUGGGCGAAAGCCUGACGGAGCAACGCCGCGUGAGUGAUGAAGGUCGUCGGAUCGUAAAACUCUGUUAUUAGGGAAGAACAAAUGUGUAAGUAACUAUGCACGUCUUGACGGUACCUAAUCAGAAAGCCACGGCUAACUACGUG
This 497-nucleotide ribosomal RNA is filed under the name uncultured bacterium. RNAcentral describes it as "partial 16S ribosomal RNA". It matches the Rfam family "Bacterial small subunit ribosomal RNA", at positions 28 to 507 of the family's 1533-position model. The record is from RNAcentral.